Molecule: small nucleolar RNA, 301 nt
Organism: Patella vulgata (common limpet)
Lineage: Eukaryota; Metazoa; Mollusca; Gastropoda; Patellidae
Source: RefSeq, a predicted model, not a curated record
GUCAGAUGAUGAGAACGUGCAUUAUUGAGCUGAUUGUUAAGGUCUAUAAACCAGAGUUAUUAUAUUGUCUGUAAUCUUGGUAAAUAAACUCAGUCUGUUUAUUUGCUGUAAGGCCGGACAUAGAAUUAAAGCCAGUUCUUCUCACACAUGGAUAAUUAAAAGAUAAAUUAUUCUUGUUCCGAAAUGGCACAUAAAGUAGUGGGGUUUGGGAAGGGUGUUUCAUCGUGGGAAGGGAAUUAUAGGGGAUGCAUUGUUCACCUGAACGACAGCUAAUGAAAAUAAUUUUAGUAAUCUGAUGGCA